ACCCCAAAUGGGGUCAUGAAGAGUUGGAUAAAAUUGAAAAAAACGACUGAGCAGAUUUUAAUAUUCUAAAUAGCUCUAUGUCAGUACUUGUCUCAGACUAGGUCCUCCUGACAACAGGAACAAUAAUACAUGAAGUUUUUUUAUAUGGUGGUGAUAAGCCAUCCUAGAAGAUGGGAAGCUCUCAAGAAUGAAAUUCUGAAGACACAAGGGGAAACAAUUCCAGUGAAGAAGACAAAAGGGAGCUGUCUAAAGAGACCAGUGACCUAACACACACAGUCGGUGCUAAUUGUUGAUUAAUUGAUUCAUGGACAAAAGAAAUAGAACAGAGGAUAAAUGACAUCUCUAUAAGAAAAGUGUCAGGAGUGAUCAGACUGAGUGGCAGUUAGCCAUGACAGCUAAGGACAACAAACAAGCAUCCCAUCAUAAAGCAGCUGCCCAUCUUUUCAAGGAGAAUUUAAGCUGGGAUUCCAUCAGCCAAGUGUCCCUUGAGAUUCCAGAAC
Long non-coding RNA from Vombatus ursinus (common wombat), 500 nucleotides. RefSeq lists it as uncharacterized. The transcript is spliced from 3 exons. Lineage: Eukaryota; Metazoa; Chordata; Mammalia; Diprotodontia; Vombatidae. The record is from RefSeq and is a predicted model, not a curated record.